CACCACUCAAGCCUCGCUUGGUAUUGGGCGACGCGGUCAAUCCGCGCGCCUCAAAUCUUCCGGCUGGUUCGAAUCGUCCCUCAGCGUUGUGGAAACUAUUCGCUAAAGGUGCGCGUUUCGGUCACGCCGUUAAACAAACCAAUUCAUUAAA
RNAcentral lists this unclassified non-coding RNA (151 nucleotides) under uncultured Rachicladosporium. RNAcentral describes it as "partial internal transcribed spacer 2". The record is from RNAcentral. Lineage: Eukaryota; Fungi; Ascomycota; Dothideomycetes; Capnodiales.